AUGGCAGAGAACAAGAUUACGCCCAUUAAGGUUGCAAGAAAUAGCCCGGGGAUUUCAAAUCUCCUGUUUGCUGACGACAGUUUAAUUUUCUUUAAGGCCAUCCCGGAGCAAGCGAAAGCUAUCAAGAGAGUUCUUGCCUCUUUCCAAAAGUGUACAGGGAAGCUUCUAAGUGCUAGCAAGUGCUCGAUUCUAUUUAGUGAAGCAUGCCCAACCCAAACAAGAGAGGACAUAAAAACCAUUCUCAGAGUGCAAUCAGAAACUUUUGAAAGUAAGUACCUGGGUCUGCCCACCCCGGAAGGAAGAAUGAAGGAAGAACAAUUCCAACCGAUCAUGGAUAGAUUUCGGAAAAGAUGCAGUGAUUGGAGCGAGAAAUUUAUGUCUUAUGCAGCCAAGGAGGUUCAUGUUAAGUCGGUUGUCCAGGCCCUUCCAACAUUCACCAUGAGUGUUUUUAUGCUCUCAAAAGGCUUCUGUGAAAAAUAUGAAAGAAUGAUCAGAAAGUUUUGGUGGGGAGAGGAUGAG
Molecule: ribosomal RNA, 519 nt
Filed under: Triticum aestivum (bread wheat)
Lineage: Eukaryota; Viridiplantae; Streptophyta; Magnoliopsida; Poales; Poaceae
Description: partial small subunit ribosomal RNA
Source: RNAcentral